RNAcentral lists this unclassified non-coding RNA (951 nucleotides) under Zea mays. RNAcentral describes it as "misc RNA Zm00001eb175930". Lineage: Eukaryota; Viridiplantae; Streptophyta; Magnoliopsida; Poales; Poaceae. The record is from RNAcentral.
CUGCUCGCCCGCGCGCCCCUCUUCCGUCUCUGCCUCGUGGGCCCGUUUUGUCAGCGCGAUGAACCGUUUCCUCCACGCGCCCGUUUUCCCUCGCUACGCCGUGGGACCGCCGUGUCAGUUCCGCCUUCCCCGCGAACCGCCGUGGAGCAGGUCGCACGGCCGCUGAGAUCCCCGGCCACGUUGCCUGCCCACACACCCCAGCUACCUUUUGAGCACCGCCCGCACCCGCGCUCGCCCCCCUGCCUCAUUUCGCGCAAGCUCACCCUCUCUCGCGCUCUGCUCUCGCCGCUCGCACUCGCCGAAGUUUCGUGGCCACGCCGCCGACCAUCAAGGCCGCCACAAGUCGCGCCAAGCUGCCCUGAGCAUCAUCUCGAGUAUGAUUUCUUGGCUCGGCACCACCGUCAGAUGAUUGCCCGAGCAGAAGAUGAAGAGAAGCUCAACCCCCUGAAGCAAGCCAAGGAUGAGCAUGUCCAGAAGUUGAUGGAGGCCUACUUGGUAACCCAUAACCAACGUAGAGCCCUGCGGAUCCAAGAGCCCGCUUCAUCCAACCUUGUCCAACCCAGGAGAGUAGAAGACCCCCAGAUUCUUGAAGGUCACCCGGUCUCUAUCAGAGGAGAAAAGAAGUCUUGGGAACUCCCGGAAGGAGCCAUAGUCUUGGAAGGAAUUCCAGUCUUCCCUCAGGCUAUGGAUAAGCAAGAGCACCCCGAGUCCUCCCAAGAUCCCCCGCUAGAGUUGUUUGAGCCCCUCGCCAUGAAGAAGAUUCCAGCACCCUCCCUUGAGGUCAAAGAAGAAGCUGCAAGCACCCCGCCACUACUGCCGCCCUCAGAGGAGCUACAAGAGCCAGUCCCGCUUGAAGAAGAGUUCGACCCUGUUCUGCCAUCUCAGUCGCCGCCAGAAGAAGUCAUCAACAUCAGCUCCUUGUUGACCCAUCCAGGAGAUAUCUCAGAUUGA